This 263-nucleotide ribosomal RNA is filed under the name uncultured bacterium. RNAcentral describes it as "partial 16S ribosomal RNA". It matches the Rfam family "Bacterial small subunit ribosomal RNA", at positions 524 to 782 of the family's 1533-position model. The record is from RNAcentral.
UACGGAGGGUGCAAGCGUUUAUCCGGAUUCACUGGGUUUAAAGGGUGCGUAGGUGGGCAGGUAAGUCAGUGGUGAAAUCUCCGAGCUUAACUCGGAAACUGCCAUUGAUACUAUCUGUCUUGAAUUAUCUGGAGGUGAGCGGAAUAUGUCAUGUAAGCGGUGAAAUGCUUAGAUAUGACAUAGAACACCAAUUGCGAAGGCAGCUCACUACGGAUAUAUUGACACUGAGGCACGGAAAGCGUGGGGAUCAAACAGGAGUUAGA